UGGGGAAUUUUGCACAAUGGGGGAAACCCUGAUGCAGCGACGCCGCGUGAUUUAGAAGGCCUUCGGGUUGUAAAAAUCUUUUUUACGGGAUGAAAAUGACAGUACCGUAAGAAUAAGGUCCGGCUAAAUACGUGCCAGCAGCCGCGGUAAUACGUAUGGACCGAGCGUUGUCCGGAAUCAUUGGGCGUAAAGGGUACGUUGGCGGCCUAGUAAGUUAGAAGUUAAAGAAUAUAGCUCAACUAUAUAAAGCUUUUAAAACUGCUAGGCUUGAGAGAUGGAAGGGAAAGUGGAAUUCCUAGUGUAGCGGUGAAAUGCGCAGAUAUUAGGAAGAAUACCGGUGGCGAAGGCGACUUUCUGGUCAUCAUCUGACGCUGAGGUACGAAAGCGUGGGUAGCAAACAGG
RNAcentral lists this ribosomal RNA (402 nucleotides) under Bacteroidota bacterium. RNAcentral describes it as "Bacteroidetes bacterium partial 16S ribosomal RNA". It matches the Rfam family "Bacterial small subunit ribosomal RNA", at positions 355 to 776 of the family's 1533-position model. Lineage: Bacteria; Pseudomonadati; Bacteroidota. The record is from RNAcentral.